Long non-coding RNA from Sapajus apella (tufted capuchin), 435 nucleotides. RefSeq lists it as uncharacterized. Lineage: Eukaryota; Metazoa; Chordata; Mammalia; Primates; Cebidae. The record is from RefSeq and is a predicted model, not a curated record. The transcript is spliced from 2 exons.
UAACAAGUUUCACGAGGAGGUGGAAGGAUCGGACUUGGGCCCACACUCUCUGGCUUGUACUGGGUUCUUUCAUUCUGCUGCUUCUCACCUGGGCAAAUACUCUACUACUGGAAAAAGAAACUCCACUGUGAAUGAACAUAAAAAACAAUGAAAAAAAAGGACGUUAGAACUGAUCAUGGACACCCAGGGUGGCAAGAUUUGGAGUGUACUGAGGAGUUUUCCAGAAGCCACAGAACGCAUGCUAUCACAACAGACAGAAAACAGAAGCAAAGAGGAGAAUCCAGAUGUCUUCUAUUAAGCCAUGGAUUAAAGAGAUUUGUAGAAAUGCACACAAUCCAUUUUUUUGUGUGUUUUAGAAAAUAGAGUUAUUGUUCAUAGGAAACUCGGUUAUGCAUACAUACAAUGGAUUUAUUCAAUAAAUAUAUAUUAAAAGCA